This 254-nucleotide ribosomal RNA is filed under the name uncultured bacterium. RNAcentral describes it as "partial 16S ribosomal RNA". It matches the Rfam family "Bacterial small subunit ribosomal RNA", at positions 524 to 776 of the family's 1533-position model. The record is from RNAcentral.
UACGUAGGGUGCGAGCGUUGUCCGGAAUCAUUGGGCGUAAAGAGCUCGUAGGCGGUGUGUCGCGUCGGUCGUGAAAACUUGGGGCUUAACCCUGAGCUUGCGGUCGAUACGGGCAUCACUGGAGUUCGGCAGGGGAGACUGGAAUUCCUGGUGUAGCGGUGAAAUGCGCAGAUAUCAGGAGGAACACCGGUGGCGAAGGCGGGUCUCUGGGCCGAUACUGACGCUGAGGAGCGAAAGCGUGGGGAGCGAACAGG